RNAcentral lists this long non-coding RNA (229 nucleotides) under Gossypium raimondii (Peruvian cotton). RNAcentral describes it as "long non-coding RNA (GRAI_LNC003982)". The record is from RNAcentral. Lineage: Eukaryota; Viridiplantae; Streptophyta; Magnoliopsida; Malvales; Malvaceae.
AAAAUUGUUCUACAACGAAUCAAAGAACAUUACUUACUCUACCUCUGCUCAGUUCCUUGAAUUAGCCAAACACCAAUUAACGAAAUCUAAUGGAACCCAAUGAUUUCAAAUAAAAAUUAAAAGUAAAAACAAAAUGGAAGUGACGAUAAGGAGAAUUCAAUUACAAAGAAACAUCAAAUUUUAGAAAUCUAGGAGAAAAGAAAAGAAAGAGGAAAAAAACUGACAUGAG